CAGUAGCCGCGGUAAUACGUAGGGGGCAAGCGUUAUCCGGAAUAACUGGGCGUAAAGGGUGCGCAGGUGGUUUAACAAGUUAGUGGUGAAAGGCAUAGGCUCAACCAAUGUAAGCCAUUAAAACUGUUUAACUUGAGUGCAGGAGAGGAAAGUGGAAUUCCUAGUGUAGCGGUGAAAUGCGCAGAUAUCAGGAGGAACACCGGUGGCGAAGGCGGGUCUCUGGGCCGAUAUUGACGCUGAGGAGCGAAAGCGUGGGGAGCAAACAGGAUUAGAUACCCCCGUAGUCCCUGUCUCUUAUACA
This 301-nucleotide ribosomal RNA is filed under the name uncultured bacterium. Its description in RNAcentral is "partial 16S ribosomal RNA". It matches the Rfam family "Bacterial small subunit ribosomal RNA", at positions 509 to 808 of the family's 1533-position model. The record is from RNAcentral.